Molecule: long non-coding RNA, 1207 nt
Filed under: Musa acuminata (dwarf banana)
Lineage: Eukaryota; Viridiplantae; Streptophyta; Magnoliopsida; Zingiberales; Musaceae
Description: long non-coding RNA (MACU_LNC000807)
Source: RNAcentral
UUCAAGCCAGAGCAACAGCCAGAGACGCGAAGGUGAGAGGAAUUGCUCUCCCAUUACUCCUGUCUUCUUCACAAGUUUGACAUUUAAUUUCUUUGCUGCGCUUCUUUCUUUUACUUGACAACAUCACUCAUACAGCACUUGCCUAUUUGCACCUUAGCUAUUUCCAUAUCUAUUUUACACGUUAAGCCGUCGAGCAUGCUUUUGGGUGAUCAUCUCAUGACAGAAGUAUCAUAUUUUGGAGUCUCAAGAAUAAAUAGAACCUAUCUUUCCAAAGAAUAAACAGAAUCUAUUUUCUUCAGGCAAUGAGAGAGACACUUGUACAAACUGAUAGAAGAUCUUAUAAUAAAAGAAGGGAUCAAACAAAGUAAUCUUCUUUUUAAGAGAGGAUAUUACUAUUUGUAACUCAUUUUUUAUUAUUUAUAAUUUUAUUUUAAAUUUUUUAAUAUUUUAAAAUUAUCUCACAAAUAGAUAUAAAUAUCAUCAUCUUCUUUCUUCUCCUUAAAAAAAUGAUAUUGAGAUCGAGUAGAGUCGUCGGCAAGCGGUAGCAAUAAGUAAUGUUGAUUGCGAUGAUGAAAUAAGUGAUUGUGAGAAGAAAAAAAUAAAAAUAAAAUAAAAUGAUAAUACAAGGAUGGUUAAUAAUAAAAUAAUAUUUUAUUAUUUUUUAAAUGAUUGCCCAUAGUAAGGAGAUUGUCAAUUCAAAGAGGAGGUUAUGAAUAGUAGCUUCCCUAAAAAUUGGAUUCGAAAGUUAAAUCCCGAUGUUAGACAUAACUUUUAAUCUUUUGAUGGUCUGUUAGACAUCAAUGAAUGCAGCUUUCUUGAGAAAUAUGUUUGGCAUAGGAUUUGUGCUAAUACGAACGGCAGCUAGAAUUGCGUGCGCAUGUAAACUCUUUUGUUAGGUACGUGGAACUGCAUGAUUGAGCAAUUGAAAUGGAAAAAAAGCAAAAGAAAUAGAAAAGAAACUAAACGUCAUUGACAAAGCUAUGAAACACAAACGGGAAGUUAUAUGAAGCUAAAACUUGAUUGGUACUGCGCAGGUGUUAUCAUCGGUGCAAGGAAUGGCACGGGGCUGCUACUGUUAUAUAUAGGUUUUUGUGGUUCUAAGAAAGAAAUGGAAGAAAAGAAAUCAAAAGAAAAUAAGGGUAAAGUACGUCCGUCAAAAUUAUGGAUUACCACUACAAUAGUUAAUCUAAUCCAUUGAAAAUAUUGC